Molecule: ribosomal RNA, 477 nt
Filed under: uncultured bacterium
Lineage: Bacteria
Description: bacterial SSU rRNA
Rfam family: Bacterial small subunit ribosomal RNA
Source: RNAcentral
GAUGAACGCUGGCGGCGUGCUUAACACAUGCAAGUCGAACGAAGCACUUUACUUGAUCUCUUCGGAGCGAUUGUUCUGUGACUGAGUGGCGGACGGGUGAGUAACGCGUGGGUAACCUGCCUUGUACAGGGGGAUAACAGUUGGAAACGACUGCUAAUACCGCAUAAGCGCACAGGACCGCAUGGUCCGGUGUGAAAAACUCCGCUUUGAGAUGGCCUCGCGUCCGAUUAGCUGGUUGGUGAGGUAACGGGCCCACCAAGGCGACGAUCGGUAGCCGGACUGAGAGGUUGAACGGCCACAUUGGGACUGAGACACGGUCCAAACUCCUACGGGAGGCAGCAGUGGGGAAUAUUGCACAAUGGAGGAAACUCUGAUGCAGCGACGCCGCGUGAGCGAUGAAGGUUUUCGAAUCGUAAAGCUCUGUCCCAUGGGAAGAUAAUGACGGUACCAUGGGAGGAAGCCCCGGCUAACUACGUG